GAUGAACGCUGGCGGCGUGCCUAAUACAUGCAAGUCGAGCGAACAGAUAAGGAGCUUGCUCCUUUGACGUUAGCGGCGGACGGGUGAGUAACACGUGGGUAACCUACCUACAAGACUGGGAUAACUUCGGGAAACCGGAGCUAAUACCGGAUAACAUUUGGAACCGCAUGGUUCUAAAGUGAAAGAUGGUUUUGCUAUCACUUAUAGAUGGACCCGCGCCGUAUUAGCUAGUUGGUAAGGUAACGGCUUACCAAGGCGACGAUACGUAGCCGACCUGAGAGGGUGAUCGGCCACACUGGAACUGAGACACGGUCCAGACUCCUACGGGAGGCAGCAGUAGGGAAUCUUCCGCAAUGGGCGAAAGCCUGACGGAGCAACGCCGCGUGAGUGAUGAAGGGUUUCGGCUCGUAAAACUCUGUUAUUAGGGAAGAACAAAUGUGUAAGUAACUGUGCACGUCUUGACGGUACCUAAUCAGAAAGCCACGGCUAACUACGUG
RNAcentral lists this ribosomal RNA (497 nucleotides) under uncultured bacterium. Its description in RNAcentral is "partial 16S ribosomal RNA". It matches the Rfam family "Bacterial small subunit ribosomal RNA", at positions 28 to 507 of the family's 1533-position model. The record is from RNAcentral.